Molecule: long non-coding RNA, 1339 nt
Filed under: Homo sapiens (human)
Lineage: Eukaryota; Metazoa; Chordata; Mammalia; Primates; Hominidae
Description: HSALNT0015829
Source: RNAcentral
CUUCUCCAGCUGAGGGCUCUCCUGCCAAGAAGAGCAGGAAGCCAGGCCCCACUGCCUCACCCCGGAAUGGCUGGCAUGCAUGCUGCACCUGGAUCUUUAUAGAGGGCAGGGGGACAGAGGGGAAGAGCUGCAUCUCAGGUGGAAGGCUGGGCCAGAGCACAAAGGAACAGGCCUCUGAGCCCAGCGGUGGGGCCCUGCCUUCCAGAAGACUGCCUGCCCUCCUACCCUCCUCCCUCGUCCCCUCAUUCAGCCUCUCCCGCCUUCCUGCCACUGAAGACCUGGAGAUCCUGGGACAGUCCUCAUUUUGGUGUUGCCCCUAAAGCCAUUAUGAGUCCUGGAAGCAUCACUGCUUCAAGGGCCCAAGCACCAUCUCAAAAACAGCAUCUCACUUGAGUGGCAGAAGCCCUUGCUCCUGAGUCUCAGCGUGGGUUUAGAAAAGGUGAACUCAGGUCCUGUGCCUUGCAAAGACUCCAGCCCAUUCACUGGAGCUCAGCCUGGAAGCGCUCAAGUCCAUAGUGCCAAGUUCCCAGCCGGAACAGGCUUUGCUCUGAGCAAAGAGCUCCCCUGCCCGCUGCCCGGGUAUUCUCAAGCAUUUGACCGGUGCGUUCUGUUAGAUGGGUACAGUCUUCUGUGCUGGGGUAGAGGGAUGCACUUCUUUUGCUUGUGGGAGGGACUUUGUGUGACAAGCCCCCACCUCUGCGUCAUUGGAGAAGUUUAUUUUCAUCCUGCCAUAGCUGGCCUUUCUCCCAGUAAAAAGUUGGGGCUCCUUACCUGGUGGUGGAUGGCAGAGAAAAGAAAGAAAGAAGGCCUGGACUCGGCCUUGGGGCAUCUCUGCCCAGUAAUCUCUUUUGCUUUGGGGACACCACAAGUAUUUCUCUCAGGGCUCUGGAAAGAAUUGGCCUCAGAGACACCUGUCAAAAUCUUUUGGGUCAAUAUGAUGUGUAUAAAUGGAUGGAGUUUGCCGGGAGGGGGUUAAGAGGGAGGGAGGGUAAGAAAAGCACCAACGAUGACCAGCUUUAAACCCCAAGAGACACAGGUUCAGACUUGUGCAGGCCCGCAAGCUAGUGAUGGGGCAGCCAAAAUGGGGGCCACCAUGGCCAGGUCCCAAAGUCAAGGCUCUUCGGGGAGAGGAGUAGGUAUGGGUGGAGGGGACAGAUGACCACCUCUCUGCGCCCCAAGGCCUAGUUCCGGUCACCCUCCGCCUUCCUCCCGGGCUGGCUGACUCCACUGGCUAUCAGACGACUGCAGCACAGACAAUGGCGCUCUGUCCCGGGCGCUCCGGGACAACAGCUCAUCCCUAUGCAGUGGCCGCCUCCCCCACCCAGGCCCGGCCGCCAGC